CCCACUUUGGUGCUCAUCAAAUUACUCUCCAGCCUGUUCGCCUGGACCUCUGGACCGCAGCCACCAGUGCGGACUUUACUGCAGCAGCUCCAUGGAAAAAGAUUCAGACCUGCCCUCCCCACAGCAGAACAACUUACACGUUUCAAGUUACAAGGGUCCUCCUUCAGGAAGGCAUCACUAUGAAAGAAUCAACCAGGAAAGGCCUGCCAUCCUAAAUCAACCCAACUUUUCAUCCUUCAAUUGAAAAGGGAUCCCUGGCAAGAAGAACACUGCACAAGCUGGGUACUUAAGGCAUAUGGCAUGGAGCCUGACU
Struthio camelus australis is the source of this 313-nucleotide non-coding RNA. NCBI's taxonomy places the organism in Eukaryota, Metazoa, Chordata, Aves, Struthioniformes, Struthionidae. The record is from RefSeq and is a predicted model, not a curated record.